UUUAAAUGGCCGCAGUACCUUGACUGUGCUAAGGUAGCAUAAUCAAUUGGCUUCUAAUUAAAGUCUGGAAUGAAAGGAAAUAUGAAGUAAUUCUAUCUUAAAGGAUUUUUUUUGAAUUUAUUUAAAUGAUGAAAAUAUCAUUUUAUAGAAAAAAGACGAGAAGACCCUUAGAGUUUUGAUAUUUAUAUAUUUUUGUUGGGGCGACAGGUAAACAUAUAACUUUACGAAUUAUCAUUGAUCGAUUAUUUAUAAGAAUAAUAAAACUACCUUAGGGAUAACAGCAUUAUAUUUUUUUAUGAUUGUGACCUC
RNAcentral lists this ribosomal RNA (309 nucleotides) under Biomphalaria straminea. Its description in RNAcentral is "partial 16S ribosomal RNA". The record is from RNAcentral. Lineage: Eukaryota; Metazoa; Mollusca; Gastropoda; Planorbidae.